GGAUAAAUAGUUUAAAGAGAAUGGUAUUUUUGUAAAGUACCGGUGUUGUUGUAUUUU
Molecule: transfer RNA, 57 nt
Filed under: Diplodiscus nigromaculati
Lineage: Eukaryota; Metazoa; Platyhelminthes; Trematoda; Plagiorchiida; Diplodiscidae
Description: tRNA-Thr
Source: RNAcentral